AACGAACGCUGGCGGCAGGCCUAACACAUGCCAGUCGAGCGAGAUCUUCGGGUCUAGCGGCGGACGGGUGAGUAACGCGUGGGAAUAUGCCUCUUGGUACGGAAUAGCCUCGGGAAACUGGGAGUAAUACCGUAUGUGCCCUUUGGGGGAAAGAUUUAUCGCCAAGAGAUUAGCCCGCGUUGGAUUAGGUAGUUGGUGGGGUAAUGGCCUACCAAGCCGACGAUCCAUAGCUGGUUUGAGAGGAUGAUCAGCCACACUGGGACUGAGACACGGCCCAGACUCCUACGGGAGGCAGCAGUGGGGAAUCUUAGACAAUGGGGGCAACCCUGAUCUAGCCAUGCCGCGUGAGUGAUGAAGGCCUUAGGGUUGUAAAGCUCCUUCAGCUGGGAAGAUAAUGACGGUACCAGCAGAAGAAGCCCCGGCUAACUCCGUG
RNAcentral lists this ribosomal RNA (433 nucleotides) under uncultured bacterium. Its description in RNAcentral is "partial 16S ribosomal RNA". It matches the Rfam family "Bacterial small subunit ribosomal RNA", at positions 29 to 507 of the family's 1533-position model. The record is from RNAcentral.